RNAcentral lists this ribosomal RNA (492 nucleotides) under uncultured bacterium. Its description in RNAcentral is "partial 16S ribosomal RNA". It matches the Rfam family "Bacterial small subunit ribosomal RNA", at positions 29 to 507 of the family's 1533-position model. The record is from RNAcentral.
AGUGAACGCUGGCGGUAGGCCUAACACAUGCAAGUCGAACGGCAGCACAGUAAGAGCUUGCUCUUACGGGUGGCGAGUGGCGGACGGGUGAGGAAUACAUCGGAAUCUACUUUUUCGGGGGGGAUAACGUAGGGAAACUUACGCUAAUACCGCAUACGACCUACGGGUGAAAGCAGGGGAUCUUCGGACCUUGCGCGAUCGAAUGAGCCGAUGUCGGAUUAGCUAGUUGGCGGGUUAAAGGCCGACCAAGGCGACGAUCCGUAGCUGGUCUGAGAGGAUGACCACCCACACUGGAACUGGGACACGGUCCAGACUCCUACGGGAGGCAGCAGUGGGGAAUAUUGGACAAUGGGCGCAAGCCUGAUCCAGCCCUACCGCGUGGGUGAAGAAGGCCUUCGGGUUGUAAAGCCCUUUUGUUGGGAAAGAAAAGCAGCAGGUUAAUACCCCGCUGUUCUGACGGUACCCAAAGAAUAAGCACCGGCUAACUUCGUG